UUUUGUAAGGAGCUUUCCUGCUACUUCACUCUGCACUUCUCCUUGCUGCCACCAUGCGAAGAAGGAUGUGUUUGGUUCCCCUUCUGCUGUGAUCGUAAGUUUCCCAAGGUCUCUCCAGCCCUGCGGAACUUUCACAGGUGGCAGAUGGAUGGCACAGAUGGAGCCAAAACAGAGGCUUUUCUGCCCUGAAGAGCCACUAGAAUCUGUGGUCCUGGAUGACUGACAGUGGCACUCGGUGUCAAGUAGGAGUCCAGGGUGGGCAGGCUGUCCUGCAAACACUGCCUUCCCCUGGGAAACGUGGCCAUAGGAGGUUGUGGUGCCCACUCCAGCAAGAACAUGCUGCUUGGCCAUCCGUCGCUGGGCCUGUACUCUGGGGGCGCUAAUUUUGUGGGGAUGGGCCUGGGGCUGUGGGAUAAACAGUGUCCUGAGCGACCCCCUGAAACCUCUGAAAUAUUAGAACAGGAAAACAGCAGGCUAAGUGUUUCUUUUCUGCAGCCUCUGGGCCACAGUUACCAAGCUUUAGAGAUGACAGCUGCAGCUGCCAGUGCCCUGGGGCUCUGAGCAGAACCUCCACUGCAGAAACUAAGCAGGAUCAAAGGAGGAAAGAAAGGGGCUCACCUGCAAAGUCAAGUUUCAGGACUUUACUUUUUCUGAGUUACUCCAGGUGGAUGAGACUUUUCCAUAUACAGGGAUAGGCUUUGUACGGUUCCAUUUUGGGUCAGUGGAAGAAUUUUCACAACACAAAUGGCAUUAUAAAGUUGUCUUCUCUGGCCUGGUACUGGGGACCACUGGUCAAAGAUAAGGCGAGACAUUGCGGGGGCUUCCUGGAGCUGCAGCAACCACAGCAGAGAACCUGCAAUGAAUUUUUUUCUGGGAGAACAUAGUAGAGGAGUAAGACAACAUUUAUCCUAGCUUCAGAUAGGAUCCUCUUCCAUCUAGGCAGAUGGGAUCCAAGAGACAGGAGGGAUCCUGGAGAGAGGUGACAGAAGAGGGUGACACAGGCUUGGUGUAUUGGAUCAGCUGCAGCUGCUGCUCCCUGGAGCGGCAGGCAGCAGCCUGGCACCCCUGCAAACAGACAGUCCUUACCCAGCCACACUGAACUCAGGGAAGGGAAAGAGGGAUGUGCCCACGUUACACACACACACACACACACACACACACACACAAUCUUAACCCUUACCUUUGCCACAAAAAAUGCUACCACUUAAUUACUCAGAACUCAAUAGUGUUUUUUGGCUAUUUUAUUUUUAGCCCUUGGAAGCUUGUUUCAAGAAAAAGACACCAUAUCAUAAACAUCAGAUAUCAGUUCACUGACAUGAAGUUAUUAACCAUACAACUUUCAAAUGGAAUCUCAAGUACUUCCAGUAAACAUUCAGUUAAGAUUUUGACAAGUAUUUUCAUCCUGCAAUCCGUCUUAUACUGUCAAAAAAAUGUCUGACUAUAAUGUAAUAGAACUGAGGUUUUAA
Molecule: long non-coding RNA, 1466 nt
Organism: Cercocebus atys (sooty mangabey)
Lineage: Eukaryota; Metazoa; Chordata; Mammalia; Primates; Cercopithecidae
Exons: 2
Source: RefSeq, a predicted model, not a curated record